Molecule: ribosomal RNA, 517 nt
Filed under: Leptobrachella purpura
Lineage: Eukaryota; Metazoa; Chordata; Amphibia; Anura; Megophryidae
Description: partial 16S ribosomal RNA
Rfam family: Bacterial large subunit ribosomal RNA
Source: RNAcentral
CGUACGCCUGCCCAGUGACUGCUCGUUAAACGGCCGCGGUACUCUGACCGUGCAAAGGUAGCGUAAUCACUUGUCUUUUAAAUAAAGACUAGUAUGAAUGGCAUCACGAGAACUAAUCUGUCUCCCUCCCCCAAUCAGUGAAACUGAUCUCCCCGUGCAGAAGCGGGGAUGACAUCAUAAGACGAGAAGACCCUGUGGAGCUUCAAAUCAAAAAUCAACUUGCUAUACUUUACCUGACACAUUCUUAUAGACUUGAUUUAGAUUUUUAGCUGGGGCGGCUGUGGAGAAAAAAUCAUCCUCCACGAAACUCUAUUCCAAGGGCUACUGCCCUAAGUAAUAAUAAAUUAGUUUAAUUGACCCAAUUUUUGAUCAACGGACCAAGUUACCCCAGGGAUAACAGCGCAAUCCACUUUUAGAGUCCAUAUCGACAAGUGGGCUUACGACCUCGAUGUUGGAUCAGGGCACCCAAGUGGUGCAGCCGCUACUAAAGGUUCGUUUGUUCAACGAUUAAAGCCCU